This 253-nucleotide ribosomal RNA is filed under the name uncultured bacterium. RNAcentral describes it as "partial 16S ribosomal RNA". It matches the Rfam family "Bacterial small subunit ribosomal RNA", at positions 524 to 776 of the family's 1533-position model. The record is from RNAcentral.
UACGUAGGGGGCAAGCGUUGUCCGGAAUUAUUGGGCGUAAAGAGCGUGUAGGCGGUCCGGUAAGUCAGCUGUGAAAGUCAAGGGCUCAACCCUUGAAUGCCGGUUGAUACUGUCGGGCUAGAGUCCGGAAGAGGCGAGUGGAAUUCCCGGUGUAGCGGUGAAAUGCGCAGAUAUCGGGAGGAACACCAAUGGCGAAGGCAGCUCGCUGGGACGUUACUGACGCUGAGACGCGAAAGCGUGGGGAGCGAACAGG